AUUCCUAGAUCCUAUAAUUCUGAAAGAAAAAAAAUCAUUGAGAGGACACCACAUACCAUCCAAUACACAGCCAUGAACAUGUGGAGCCAAACAAUUGUGGUCUCUUUGGUAAUUAAACUCUCCACGCUUCAAAUCAUUGCAAGAACAAGUGUUUCUUCUCCCCAUCUGAACUGUGAAUUUUUUUUCUCCAUGUUUGCCAGUUUUGCUGACUCCGCAUGGAAAUAUUCUUUUUCC
RNAcentral lists this long non-coding RNA (234 nucleotides) under Homo sapiens (human). RNAcentral's name for it is "HSALNT0227905". Lineage: Eukaryota; Metazoa; Chordata; Mammalia; Primates; Hominidae. The record is from RNAcentral.